RNAcentral lists this long non-coding RNA (1152 nucleotides) under Numida meleagris (helmeted guineafowl). RNAcentral's name for it is "lncRNA (ENSNMEG00000015962.1)". The record is from RNAcentral. Lineage: Eukaryota; Metazoa; Chordata; Aves; Galliformes; Numididae.
AUAAAUGGGAAAGUUUCCAAAGUCUCUAGAAGAAAACUCACAAAGCUUCCUAAAUGCUUUUACUAUGUUCGUUACGUUAAUGACAGAGCACUUGAUGAAAACCAGAGCCCAAAAGCCGCAGACCUCAACUGUAAAGAGCUUCAGAACACCGUGCUCCUGCGGGCGCUCACUGCUCAGGCGCGGCGCUCUCAGGCAGCGCCCAGAGAUGCUGCCAGCGGGAAGGAGGCACCUCGCACCGCGCCCACGGCCCCCCCAGCCCGUGGCGGCAGGCAGCCCACACCGGAGCCCGCCCGAGGCACGCGGCUGUCCCGAGGAAGCGGCCGCUCAGGGGCCUUCCGGGAGAGCCCCUCGGUUCGGGCCUGCCCUGCCCUGCGCGGCCCAGCUCCUCCGGUCGCCUCUGCCCGGCGGCCCCAUCCCCACCGCCCCCGCAGCGCUUCCCCGCAAGUCCGGGGCCGCCCGCGCUGCGUGAGGCGGAGGCGGCUCGGAGCUGCCUGGGGAUCCCCGCGCGGCCACGGCCGCCCUCAGCCUAACUUGCUGCCCACCCCCUCCCCGCCACCUCCCGACUGGCAGCCGCGGGAGCCAAUGAGAAGAGCCCCCAGCAGACCGCCGGCCAAUCCCGAGCUGCGGGAGGCGGGUCGAGGCGCCCCAGCAUGGUGCGCUGCGCCUCUCGCUGCGCCGCGGGCCCAGCACCCGAGCCCGCAGCGGAACGGAGCGGCGGGGACUGCGGGCCCUGAGGACGGCCGGGCUACGGGGCCGCCAUACAGCCGGUAUCGCCGGGCGGCGCGGCUCAGCCUCACCUGUCGGCUUCCUCCAAGCGGCGGCGGGGGCUCGGAGAGCUCCGGCUGCGCUUCACAUUCAAACCGCGGUGAGAGGGCGCGGCGGCGGCACGGUGACCGCAUCACGCAGGGCGGCGACACCGUCCGGCCCCCAGGCCAAUCAGCGGGCCUCUCUGCCCCGACGCGCCGCGCGCUGAGCCAAUCCGUGCCUCCCGUCUCACGUGGAGGCAGCAGCCAAUGGCCGAGCUCUUCCCACAAGGCCCCGCUGCGCGCCGAGCGCUGCAGUGCCCGUCAGGCGGCGCCUGAGGUGCUGCGCUGGGCGGGAAGGCGGCCAGCAGGGCGGCCAGUGUUGCAGUUAGUUAGCAUUCGGCCCUGA